GACGAACGCUGGCGGCGUGCCUAAUACAUGCAAGUAGAACGCAGUUGCGAACGGGUGAGUAACGCGUAGGUAACUGCCUGGUAGCGGGGGAUAACUAUUGGAAACGAUAGCUAAUCCCGCAUACUACCAGAUGGACCUGCGUUGUAUUAGCUAGUUGGGUAGGUAACGGCUCACCAAGGCAACGAUACAUAGCCGACCGUAGAGGGGGAUGGGACAAACUGGGACUGAGAACAGGACCAGACUCCCACGGGAGGCAGAAGUAAGGAAUCUUCGGAAAUGGGGGGAACCCUGACCGAGAAACGCCGGGGUAGUGAAGAAGGGUUUCGGAUCGGAAAGCUCUGUUGUUAAGGAAGCGGUACUUAACCAGAAAGGGACGGCUAACUACGUGCCAGCAGCCGCGGUAAUUC
This 407-nucleotide ribosomal RNA is filed under the name uncultured bacterium. Its description in RNAcentral is "partial 16S ribosomal RNA". It matches the Rfam family "Bacterial small subunit ribosomal RNA", at positions 28 to 526 of the family's 1533-position model. The record is from RNAcentral.